Molecule: ribosomal RNA, 449 nt
Filed under: uncultured bacterium
Lineage: Bacteria
Description: partial 16S ribosomal RNA
Rfam family: Bacterial small subunit ribosomal RNA
Source: RNAcentral
AACGAACGCUGGCGGCAGGCUUAACACAUGCACGUCGAGUGGGCACUUCGGUGCUAGCGGCGGACGGGUGAGUAACGCGUGGGAACGUAUCCUUUGGUUCGGAAUCGCCUCGGGAAACUGGGAGUAAUACCGGAAGAGCUCUUCGGAGGAAAGAUUUAUAGCAAAAGGAUCGGCCCGCGUUGGAUUAGGUAGUUGGUGGGGUAAUGGACUACCACGCCGACGAUCCAUGGCUGGUUUGAUAGGAUGAUCAGCCACACUAGGAAUGAGAAACGGGCCAAACUCCUACGGGAGGCAGCAGUGGGGAAUCUUAGACAAUGGGCGCAAGCCUGAUCUAGCCAUGCCGCGUGAGCGAUGAAGGCCUUAGGGUUGUAAAGCUCUUUCAGUGGGGAAGAUAAUGACGGUACCCACAGAAGAAGCCCCGGCUAACUCCGUGCCAGCCGCCGCCGUAA